UGUUGUUGUUGUUCAUCUGAUCCUGGUUACAGGGGUUAUUCAGCUGUAUUGUUUCCCUCUACCAUUAUCUUUGGAGAUUUCCUGCAGAGAUUGUUAUCCACAUAUGGUUCCAAAGAGGGAGAAAGACAAUAGUCACUUU
This is an unclassified non-coding RNA of Ictidomys tridecemlineatus (thirteen-lined ground squirrel), 139 nucleotides long. NCBI's taxonomy places the organism in Eukaryota, Metazoa, Chordata, Mammalia, Rodentia, Sciuridae. The record is from Ensembl.